Molecule: long non-coding RNA, 1002 nt
Filed under: Dromaius novaehollandiae (emu)
Lineage: Eukaryota; Metazoa; Chordata; Aves; Casuariiformes; Dromaiidae
Description: lncRNA (ENSDNVG00000011763.1)
Source: RNAcentral
GGCCUCUCCUCACUGUAGAGGGAGCUGCUACAGUCCCCACCAUGUCCAUGGCCCUCCGCUGUGCUUGCUCCAGUUUGUCCAGGUCUUUCCUGUAUUGGGGGGCCAAAACUAGGUGCCUUAYCCUAGAUAUGGUCUAGUGGGUGCUGAGUGCAGGUGGAGGAUCACUUCCCUGGCUCUCCUAGCUGUGCUGCUGCUCACGCAGGCCCUCCACAGUCUCUUCCUCCAUUUUUCAAAUUCCAUAUUGAAGUGCCAGCAUGAAGAAACAUCUCCCCCCACCACCCGCUUUGAUUUGGUGCUUCCUCAUGCUGCUGAAACCCUUUCUUUCAGUGCUCCCCAGCACGGGAGAGCAAGGCACUGAAACAGACACCAACAUUGUACAGGGUUUCACCCGCACCUAGGUAUCGAUUUCCCCCAGAUUUUCCUUGAAAAGCCCGAAAUUGUUCAAAAAUGUUGACUCUCCUCCUUUCUUCUUCCUCUUCCUUUUUUUUUUUUUUUUCCAAAUGUUUGGCCACACCUUUGCUAAUAUCUGCCAGAGCCAGCCGCACUCUGGCCGCCCCGCGGGCAGCAGCGACCCCCACCUGGGGCGGCGGCGGCUGCAAGGCCUCGGGACGGCCGGGCUGCCUCGGGCGGGCCGCGCUCUGCCCGCCCCUCCCUUCCCGGCGGCGGCAAGAGGGGCCAGCCUGGCCCCCAGCCAGCGCUGCGGCGGCGAGGGCGGGCCAGGAGCCGGAAGAGGAGCCGCCGCUACCCGCCCGACUUCCCUAGCAGCCAGGCAGGCAGGCGAGCGCCAUGCUGCAGUUCUUGGUUGGCUUUACUCUUGGCAAUGUGGUUGGAAUGUAUCUAGCUCAGAAUUACGAUAUUCCUAACCUUGCAAAGAAGCUUGAAGACUUUAAGAAGGAUGUGGAAGCUAAGAAGAAACCUCCCAAUGACAAGUCCUAAGAGAGUGUURCCCAGGUCACCUCUGUGCAAGCAUCAUGGAUGCAGUUUACUCUUCAGGCAACAAAG